AGGACUACACAGGUUGAGUGUGCAGUCAAUGAACAGUUCAAACUUUAUUUGAAGGCAACAAAGGGUUGACUCUCUCUCUGUGUCUGGUCUCUGGUCGGAGGGCAAGUUGUUCUGAUCACUGCAGUAUCUCAAUGUGCCUCCAGUAUGAUGGCGGCCAUGUACUCUCAAGACAACCAAUCAUUUUACAAAAUGUAGAGAGUGAAUAUAAGCAAAAGAAUCUUCACCUAGAGAGUGGUGAAUCAGUUGGAAUCAGCUUUUACUUAAUCCAUAUCCUUUGUUGUGGUUUGUUUGUACAUCAGCAUUCCACACACAUCAGGGAUUGAAGUUUGCGACAAGGAGAAAGUCCAUGCUCUUGACAAUGUUGAGGAAUUCUGGUCUUUACAAGCAGAAAUCAGUCUCCUAUUUGUAAUGCUCUAAGCAGCUGUUUACAGAAAGUCUUGACUAAGGUGUAUUUAAAGCUGCAGAAUACAGGUCCUACAAACUUUAUCCCCAUACUUUGUGUAGGCCCUUGUUUAAUCCUUUUGUGCAAAUAUCCAAACCCAAAUGGUUUUGAAAGAAACAGCAGCAUGACUCUUGCCUGAAGAAACUAAAACCUCAAGGGUUGCAUUUCCUAGUCGGCAUACACCAUGACUACAAUUACACAGCCUCUUCUCCUUCUGCUCAUCUCACACUGCUGCUGCCAAGGGCUUUAUGCAACGGGAAGAAAAUCCACACUGUUCCCAAUAGCCGGCUUUCUAAAGAUUUUUGAUGUCACUGGAGGUAGCAUUCAAUGUUAGGCUUUCUCUCACAGCUCUAGAUUCAAAGAAGAGGUUGCAUAUUGCAAAUGAAAAAGCAAGUGGAUUGAACAGUGCUAAGUAAGACUUCCACUUCAGCUCUGCUCUCCUGGUAUUCUGACUGAAAUGGUGCUUGGGUUUUUGUGGAAAUGAGUAAGUUAUGCUGGCAGCCCCUAACCGCAUUGGUUAACCUGGGUUUAGAAAGAAACCAGACUGCUGUCUAACAAUUUUAAUAAAUUUCACUAUCAGUACGUUUGAUACAAAACUCAAAAAAAAGUUAAGAGAAAUCUCUCAUUAUCUGUCAGACUGGGAGACAACACCUGUGUCCUGUGGCAACGCUGGUGCUGAUUUAUUUAAAAACAAGGUUAAAACAGUGGUGCCAAGUUGCCUUCUAAUGGUGAUGGAAAGCCAUGAGAAUUUAAAAACAUCCAGUGGAACAGUGCCAGACUGCAUUCUGAAUCUGAUGCCUACCAUCAAAUGCUUGGCGUUAAUUACCAACAGUAAGGCACAGUCUGGCAUUCUUGGCAAACUGCAUGCUGUCAACUUCCUGUUUCUCUUGAACUGCUGAGUGCAAUUUCUUAGAGGGAAGAGCACAACAGGAGUGAAAACUAAACUGAAUAAGUAAAAAAGCAAAAGAAGAAAACACAAUAUUCAUUUGCCUAUACCACUUGCCCAGUGGUUAAACAUUUGAAAUUAAGCUCAUCAUUUAGAAUCCAGGCAGCAUUAAAUCAAACAAAAGAUAAUCUGCACGUAUCCAGUGUGCAAAAACUUAAUCGUUUUCAAAGAAGUCCCACUUUAAAAACUUAAUAGCAGGAUACACGUCAAAUCAACAACCUUAAACAGACUAAUCCUCAGUCUGCACUCCAGGAGUGACAUUCUUUCAAACUAUUCCCUACUGGGGAGAGCAGGAAAGAGAAAUGCAACUAACAAUUGAAUUAGGAGAUGUCUCCAGCCAUCUCUCACAGCCCACAUAGUUGGAUUCCGGCACUCAUGUCAUCAUUAUCAAGUACUUUGAAAACUUUGUCUGUCUGUUUUUUGAUUCCAGAUUUCUUUUGUUCUGUAAAAAAACAAAUUAAAUACAACAAAUGUCACACAUUGGCAAAUGGUUCAUGUCAACUAGCAGAAUGUCUCAAAAAUAAAGCGUAUAAACAAUAUUUCAGAAGCCCUCAAGUGCACUCUUCCAGUACUUCUGCAAAUCAGCACAGCUCAUUGUGUCCUGUUACAGGAAAUUUAUUUUAAAAGUAGCUCAUAGAUGGCCCAAUGGAGGGAACAAGCAACAGAAUAUGCAUCCAUGACUUUGGCUAAUGCAGAGCAUAAUUAUGCCCAAUUAGAUGGCAGUCAUAUUUGGAGUCAGGAAGUUCCACCAAUACCUUUACGAACAUAAAUGUGUAAUAAGUUGACAACAGACCCCUGCUCGGGCUUCAGAAUGAGUUCCCUGAUUGGACCAGAUUAACAGCCCCAAUCAGGGAUCCCUGGUUGAUAGAUAAAAACAGGAGUGUUUCCCCCUCCAAAUCUAUUUUGAUUUAGUCCCUGCCCUCCCCUUCACUGUUUUGAUCACACAGCAU
This is a long non-coding RNA of Hemiscyllium ocellatum (epaulette shark), 2338 nucleotides long. RefSeq lists it as uncharacterized. The transcript has 4 exons. The record is from RefSeq and is a predicted model, not a curated record. Lineage: Eukaryota; Metazoa; Chordata; Chondrichthyes; Orectolobiformes; Hemiscylliidae.